Molecule: ribosomal RNA, 514 nt
Filed under: uncultured bacterium
Lineage: Bacteria
Description: partial 16S ribosomal RNA
Rfam family: Bacterial small subunit ribosomal RNA
Source: RNAcentral
UGGGGAAUUUUGGACAAUGGGCGAAAGCCUGAUCCAGCAAUGCCGCGUGUGUGAAGAAGGCCUUCGGGUUGUAAAGCACUUUUGUCCGGAAAGAAAUGGCUCUGGUUAAUACCUGGGGUCGAUGACGGUACCGGAAGAAUAAGGACCGGCUAACUACAUGCCAGCAGCCGCGGUAAUACGUAGGGUCCAAGCGUUAAUCGGAAUUACUGGGCGUAAAGCGUGCGCAGGCGGUUGUGCAAGACCGAUGUGAAAUCCCCGAGCUUAACUUGGGAAUUGCAUUGGUGACUGCACGGCUAGAGUGUGUCAGAGGGGGGUUAGAAUUCCACGUGUAGCAGUGAAAUGCGUAGAGAUGUGGAGGAAUACCGAUGGCGAAGGCAGCCCCCUGGGAUAACACUGACGCUCAUGCACGAAAGCGUGGGGAGCAAACAGGAUUAGAUACCCUGGUAGUCCACGCCCUAAACGAUGUCAACUAGUUGUUGGGGGAUUCAUUUCCUUAGUAACGUAGCUAACGCGU